Molecule: non-coding RNA, 73 nt
Organism: Ixodes scapularis (black-legged tick)
Lineage: Eukaryota; Metazoa; Arthropoda; Arachnida; Ixodida; Ixodidae
Source: Rfam
UCCUGGUUACCUUAGUUGGUAGAGCGCUCCACUGGAAAUGGAGAGGUCCCCGGUUCGAUACCAGGAACAGGCU